RNAcentral lists this ribosomal RNA (923 nucleotides) under Xerophorus olivascens. Its description in RNAcentral is "partial large subunit ribosomal RNA". It matches the Rfam family "Eukaryotic large subunit ribosomal RNA", at positions 31 to 937 of the family's 3401-position model. The record is from RNAcentral. Lineage: Eukaryota; Fungi; Basidiomycota; Agaricomycetes; Agaricales; Callistosporiaceae.
AAAUUAAGCAUAUCAAUAAGCGGAGGAAAAGAAACUAACAAGGAUUCCCCUAGUAACUGCGAGUGAAGCGGGAAAAGCUCAAAUUUAAAAUCUGACAGUCUUUGGCUGUCCGAGUUGUAAUCUAGAGAAGUGCUAUCCGCGCUGGACCGUGUACAAGUCUCCUGGAAUGGAGCGUCAUAGAGGGUGAGAAUCCCGUCUCUGACACGGACUACCAGGGCUUUUGUGAUGCGCUCUCAAAGAGUCGAGUUGUUUGGGAAUGCAGCUCUAAAUGGGUGGUAAAUUCCAUCUAAAGCUAAAUAUUGGCGAGAGACCGAUAGCGAACAAGUACCGUGAGGGAAAGAUGAAAAGAACUUUGGAAAGAGAGUUAAACAGUACGUGAAAUUGUUGAAAGGGAAACGCUUGAAGUCAGUCGCAUUGGCCAGGGAUCAACCUUGCUCUUUUGCUUGGUGUACUUUCUGGUUGAUGGGUCAGCAUCAAUUUUGACUGGUGGAAAAAGGUCAGGGGAAUGUGGCAUCUUUGGAUGUGUUAUAGCCCUUGAUUGUAUACAUCGGUUGGGAUUGAGGAACUCAGCAUGCCGCAAGGCCGGGUUUUUAACCACGUACAUGCUUAGGAUGCUGGCAUAAUGGCUUUAAUCGACCCGUCUUGAAACACGGACCAAGGAGUCUAACAUGCCUGCGAGUAUUUGGGUGGAAAACCCAUGUGCGCAAUGAAAGUGAAGAUCAGGAUCUCUGUCAUGGAGAGCACUGAUGCCCGGACCAGACCUUUUGUGACGGAUCUGCGGUAGAGCAAGCAUGUUGGGACCCGAAAGAUGGUGAACUAUGCCUGAAUAGGGUGAAGCCAGAGGAAACUCUGGUGGAGGCUCGUAGCGAUUCUGACGUGCAAAUCGAUCGUCAAAUUUGGGUAUAGGGGCGAAAGACUAAUCG